AUUGAACGCUGGCGGCAUGCUUUACACAUGCAAGUCGAACGGCAGCGCGGGCUUCGGCCUGGCGGCGAGUGGCGAACGGGUGAGUAAUACAUCGGAACGUGCCCAGUAGUGGGGGAUAGCUCGGCGAAAGCCGGAUUAAUACCGCAUACGACCCGAGGGUGAAAGCGGGGGAUCUUCGGACCUCGCGCUAUUGGAGCGGCCGAUGGCAGAUUAGCUAGUUGGUGGGGUAAAGGCCUACCAAGGCGACGAUCUGUAGCUGGUCUGAGAGGACGACCAGCCACACUGGGACUGAGACACGGCCCAGACUCCUACGGGAGGCAGCAGUGGGGAAUUUUGGACAAUGGGCGAAAGCCUGAUCCAGCAAUGCCGCGUGUGUGAUGAAGGCCUUCGGGUGGUAAAGCACUUUUGGCGGGAACGAAAAGGACUGUGCCAAUACCACGGUUCGAUGACGGUACCCGCAGAAUAAGCACCGGCUAACUACGUG
RNAcentral lists this ribosomal RNA (484 nucleotides) under uncultured bacterium. RNAcentral describes it as "partial 16S ribosomal RNA". It matches the Rfam family "Bacterial small subunit ribosomal RNA", at positions 29 to 507 of the family's 1533-position model. The record is from RNAcentral.